This is a long non-coding RNA of Populus nigra (black poplar), 1376 nucleotides long. RefSeq lists it as uncharacterized. The transcript has 2 exons. The record is from RefSeq and is a predicted model, not a curated record. NCBI's taxonomy places the organism in Eukaryota, Viridiplantae, Streptophyta, Magnoliopsida, Malpighiales, Salicaceae.
UACAACCACACUCCGCCGUAUGUUCCAAAAACGGAAUCAAAUGGUCAGCUUUAUGCCUUAUAGGCCUCCUCCAUGGGCUAUAUUUAGGUGGAUUUGAGCAUCAUCCUGGGCAUCUGGGAACAAAUCUAGAAUUGUUUGUUUUGUGGGAUAAUUUCAAAAUAUUUGAUUUGAUUUUGAUUUCCACUCCAACCAUCCUUUUUCCUUUCAUUUUGAUAUUGUGCUGUCCCAAUAAAUUCCAGUUUCCUUUUCUUUUUUUUUUACAAUCCUUUUGUAAACGAAAAAACGAAGAGAGAGAGGCCCCCCCAUACAAAAUUGAACUGGGUAAAUGCAAUGUAUAGAAUUUCAUAAUUGUGUACUGGAUGCAUACACGUACAGUUGACUUGAUUGUCGAGAAUCUUAGAGAUCACCGAGAAGUUUGAAGCUUUCUUUCUUCCAUCCAUGCUAUGCCACAAAACAAUUAGGGCACAGCAUUCUUUUGGGAAUGGAGAUAGUAAUAAGAAAUCUCUGCGGCAAAGAAAAUGUUUGAGCUAGAAUGAGUGGAAAACAGAGAUCACGCUCGCUCUACACAGAUGCUAACUUAUGUAUCCACUUCUUCUCAAGUAAUCGCAAUCUUUAAAGCUUGUGGGGGUAAGAGAUUUAGCUAUUAAACCUGAUGUUACGUACCCUUUUAAUGCAGGUCAACUUGAGAUAUAUAGAAUGUUCAAUGAAUUAUAUUUUAAUUACCAUUAUGGAGUAGCUAGAAUACAAUUGAGUAGAAAAGUCUACGUACUGGCCAUUGUACGUGUCGUUUUUUACUGAUCAGGACUAGACAAUCUGCCACUUCUAAUCUAUAAAACGCUGUGGAGACACCAUGCGGCUGUCUAUUAUUUCGGAUCAGGAAGCAACAAGCUAGAUUGUGUUUCUCCUUCGAUGGAUGUUCACUCGAAGACGUCUUGUCAUAAGUUAGAUAUGUUCAGUGGAUAAUUGUAGCCUGACUUGAGUAGAUUAGAUAGGGGCCUUUUUUCUUGCAUGAUUUGGCAACUAUUUGGAAGGAUUAUAGCAAAUGGUAGGCCGCGCAUAGUCAUGUGUGGAAAAGCACCGGUGUUUCAUCCAUUUUAGGUUCUAGGCUGAGCCACCCCCAUGAGCCUAAGAAUCAUGUAUAUGAGAGGGAUGGCUCACUGAUUCCGCACUUCGAUGGCUUUCUCUGCAGAAAUAUCUAACAAAAGAUUCAAGCUUGCCUGUUUAGAGGUCACCUAGUGAUCCUCCUCUGGGUCCAAUAAUGUUCGAUUGGAAACAUUGCCAUGAUAGCUAGCAUGGAUAUACAUGGUAGUUGGGUUGGCCCAUCGUGACGAUUCUAUGUAUCUUCUUUGGAUAAUGCAUGGAUUGAUUGAUUUGAA